Molecule: ribosomal RNA, 357 nt
Filed under: Triticum aestivum (bread wheat)
Lineage: Eukaryota; Viridiplantae; Streptophyta; Magnoliopsida; Poales; Poaceae
Description: partial small subunit ribosomal RNA
Source: RNAcentral
ACGGCGGCCGAGGACAAGCUUCUUUGCGAGUGUUGGAGAGAUAUUGGGCAAGACCCCAAGACGGGCUCCGAACAAAAGCAUUCAACCUUUUGGAUUCGUGUCCACAGUGAGUUCCAUGAGCGCAAGAAGUUUCCCCCGUACCAAAUGGUAAGCACGCGCUGGUGGGUGUCCAUUUUGAAGCGAUGGAGGGUGAUCCAACAAGAGUGCAACAAGUUUUGUGUCACUCUUGAGAGCGUCAAGGCCCGCCCCAUGAGCGGCAUCGGCAUGCAAGACAUGGCAUUUCAAGCUUUGGAGGCAUUCAAGGUCCAACACAAUGGCAAGUGCUUCAACCUAUCCCAUUGCUUUAGGGUCAUCAAA